GUGUCCCUGGCCCGGCUGCUAAGCAGCAGAAGGAGAUCCAGCCAAUGCAGAGAGCUGCAGCUUCUACAAGUUGCGGACGCUAUGAAGUUCCCUUGGAGGACUUGUAUGAGGCUCCAGACAAGACUAUAUCAAUGGAAGAGCUACAGCAGCCCAAGAAAGAGAGAUAAGCCCUCUGGCUGCCGGAACAAUGUAUCUCUUAACCCUCCCUCCCGAAGGACCCGGACCGAGACAGGGGAAGCCGACCUUGUUGAUGGGGUUGCCGGCACCUCUCCGGGCACCUCCGAGAUAGCAGCUGUCACGAUGGGGCAGAUGAGAAGGGCUUCCCGUCUCAUCUGCUUAUUUUAUGGGUAUGUCUUUUUUUCGGGGAAACAGGGUUAGUAGACUAACUUUUCUGCCCUUGUCUAACAUUUAAAGAAGCAAACAUCUGGGAAUACCCCUUCAAGAGAAACAUGGAGGUCAGUUAGGUCUCUCUGGCUGAGAACACAGAAAGCCUGUAUGUGUGAGAAACUCAUGUAAAAAGGUUGCUGGAAGUGUUUUUGGUAAGCUGGCAAAAAGAAGCUCUUCAGUAAGUUAGGGAUGUUUUUUGUAUAGUAAGUGCCAGACAGGCAAGGAUUUUCUUUUGCUGCUGUUUUGUUUGCUUUGAUUUAU
This is a long non-coding RNA of Hyla sarda, 648 nucleotides long. RefSeq lists it as uncharacterized. The record is from RefSeq and is a predicted model, not a curated record. The transcript is spliced from 3 exons. NCBI's taxonomy places the organism in Eukaryota, Metazoa, Chordata, Amphibia, Anura, Hylidae.